This 538-nucleotide ribosomal RNA is filed under the name Fretibacterium sp. RNAcentral's name for it is "bacterial SSU rRNA". It matches the Rfam family "Bacterial small subunit ribosomal RNA", at positions 1 to 553 of the family's 1533-position model. The record is from RNAcentral. Lineage: Bacteria; Thermotogati; Synergistota; Synergistia; Synergistales; Aminobacteriaceae.
UUCACUGAGAGUUUGAUCCUGGCUCAGGACGAACGCUGGCGGCGUGCGUAACACAUGCAAGUUGGACGCGAAUUUAUGUUUAAUGUAUUUAUACAAGAGGCAUAGAUUUGAGUAGCGAACGGGUGAGUACAACAUGAGAAGCUAUCCUUCAGCGGGGGACAACGUCUGGAAACGGACGCUAAUACCCCAUGCGCCGAGAGGUAAAAGCAGCGAUGCGCUGGAGGAGGUGCUCGUGUCCUAUCAGCUUGUUGGUGAGGUAACGGCUCACCAAGGCGACGACGGGUAGCCGGCCUGAGAGGGUGUACGGCCACACUGGAACUGAGACACGGUCCAGACUCCUACGGGAGGCAGCAGUGGGGAAUAUUGGGCAAUGGGAGGAAUCCUGACCCAGCGACGCCGCGUGAACGAAGACGGCCUUCGGGUUGUAAAGUUCUUUUAUGUGGGAAGAAGGACGUGACGGUACCACAUGAAUAAGCCCCGGCUAACUACGUGCCAGCAGCCGCGGUAAUACGUAGGGGGCGAGCGUUGUCCGGAAUUA